GGGGAGGGGGGGCCUAUUAAUGCAAGUCGAGCGAAUGGAUUAAGAGCUUGCUCUUAUGAAGUUAGCGGCGGACGGGUGAGUAACACGUGGGUAACCUGCCCAUAAGACUGGGAUAACUCCGGGAAACCGGGGCUAAUACCGGAUAACAUUUUGAACCGCAUGGUUCGAAAUUGAAAGGCGGCUUCGGCUGUCACUUAUGGAUGGACCCGCGUCGCAUUAGCUAGUUGGUGAGGUAACGGCUCACCAAGGCAACGAUGCGUAGCCGACCUGAGAGGGUGAUCGGCCACACUGGGACUGAGACACGGCCCAGACUCCUACGGGAGGCAGCAGUAGGGAAUCUUCCGCAAUGGACGAAAGUCUGACGGAGCAACGCCGCGUGAGUGAUGAAGGCUUUCGGGUCGUAAAACUCUGUUGUUAGGGAAGAACAAGUGCUAGUUGAAUAAGCUGGCACCUUGACGGUACCUAACCAGAAAGCCACGGCUAACUACGUGCCAGCAGCCGCGGUAAUACGUAGGUGGCAAGCGUUAUCCGGAAUUAUUGGGCGUAAAGCGCGCGCAGUGGUUUCUU
RNAcentral lists this ribosomal RNA (567 nucleotides) under bacterium. Its description in RNAcentral is "bacterial SSU rRNA". It matches the Rfam family "Bacterial small subunit ribosomal RNA", at positions 36 to 584 of the family's 1533-position model. The record is from RNAcentral.